UCCUUAUCUUCCAGGUGGCCAAGAGCAUGC
This 30-nucleotide non-coding RNA is filed under the name Homo sapiens (human). Lineage: Eukaryota; Metazoa; Chordata; Mammalia; Primates; Hominidae. The record is from RNAcentral.